GAUGAACGCUGGCGGCGUGCCUAAUACAUGCAAGUCGAGCGAACAGACGAGGAGCUUGCUCCUCUGACGUUAGCGGCGGACGGGUGAGUAACACGUGGAUAACCUACCUAUAAGACUGGGAUAACUUCGGGAAACCGGAGCUAAUACCGGAUAAUAUAUUGAACCGCAUGGUUCAAUAGUGAAAGACGGUUUUGCUGUCGCUUAUAGAUGGAUCCGCGCCGCAUUAGCUAGUUGGUAAGGUAACGGCUUACCAAGGCGACGAUGCGUAGCCGACCUGAGAGGGUGAUCGGCCACACUGGAACUGAGACACGGUCCAGACUCCUACGGGAGGCAGCAGUAGGGAAUCUUCCGCAAAGGGCGAAAGCCUGACGGAGCAACGCCGCGUGAGUGAUGAAGGUCUUCGGAUCGUAAAACUCUGUUAUUAGGGAAGAACAAAUGUGUAAGUAACUAUGCACGUCUUGACGGUACCUAAUCAGAAAGCCACGGCUAACUACGUG
This 497-nucleotide ribosomal RNA is filed under the name uncultured bacterium. RNAcentral describes it as "partial 16S ribosomal RNA". It matches the Rfam family "Bacterial small subunit ribosomal RNA", at positions 28 to 507 of the family's 1533-position model. The record is from RNAcentral.